Molecule: ribosomal RNA, 446 nt
Filed under: uncultured bacterium
Lineage: Bacteria
Description: partial 16S ribosomal RNA
Rfam family: Bacterial small subunit ribosomal RNA
Source: RNAcentral
CCUACGGGUGGCAGCAGUCGAGAAUCAUUCACAAUGGGGGAAACCCUGAUGGUGCGACGCCGCGUGGGGGAAUGAAGGUCUUCGGAUUGUAAACCCCUGUCAUGUGGGAGCAAAUUAAAAAGAUAGUACCACAAUAGGAAGAGCCGGCUAACUCUGUGCCAGCAGCCGCGGUAAUACAGAGGUCUCAAGCGUUGUUCGGAAUCACUGGGCGUAAAGCGUGCGUAGGCUGUUGCGUAAGUCCUGUGUGAAAGGGGCGGGCUCAACCCGCGGACGGCACAUGAUACUGCGAGACUAGAGUAAGGGAGGGGGAACCGGAAUUCGCGGUGUAGCAGUGAAAUGCGUAGAUAUCGAGAGGAACACUCGUGGCGAAGGCGGGUUCCUGGACAGUAACUGACGCUGAGGCACGAAGGCCAGGGGAGCGAAAGGGAUUAGAUACCCGGGUAGUC